UGGCACCAGGAUUAAGGGGGUCCCUGCCACA
Molecule: non-coding RNA, 31 nt
Filed under: Homo sapiens (human)
Lineage: Eukaryota; Metazoa; Chordata; Mammalia; Primates; Hominidae
Source: RNAcentral